GUAGGGGGGCGAGCGUUUGUCCGGGAUUUUAUUGGGGGCUAAAAGAGCUCGUAGGCGGUUGCGUAAGUCGGAUGUGAAAAACUCAGGGGGCUCAACCCUGAGAUGCCAUUCGAUACUGCGCUGACUCGAGUCCCGGUAGGGGAGCAUGGAAUUCCUGGUGUAGCGGUGAAAUGCGCAGAUAUCAGGAGGGAACACCAGUGGCGAAGGCGGUGCUCUGGGCCGGUACUGACGCUGAGGAGCGAAAGCAUGGGUAGCAAACAGGAUUAGAUACCCUGGUAGUCCAUGCCGUAAACGUUGGGCACUAGUGCGGGGCCGUACUUAACGGGUUCCGUGCCGUAGCUAACGCAUUAAGUGCCCCGCCCUGGGGAGGUACGGCCGCAAGGCUA
This 386-nucleotide ribosomal RNA is filed under the name uncultured organism. Its description in RNAcentral is "partial 16S ribosomal RNA". It matches the Rfam family "Bacterial small subunit ribosomal RNA", at positions 526 to 896 of the family's 1533-position model. The record is from RNAcentral.